ACUCAAGGUGACUGCCUGAAUUUUGGCUAAAAUAAAGUAAGAGGACAUAUUCCCAGAAGUAAAAUUAAUGGAAAGAUGAAAAAGACUCCAGUCAUGCAUUUGGCAGCUACAGCUGACACCGAGAGGGGUGCUUCAAGUCACUGGCACAGGUCAAGGCAGCUGCCUCAGUAUUCGUAUUAAAAACUGGGAUGUUAAAUUAGGAGCCUCGGCUUAACUUAUGGAGCGGUCGCCUGGGACACGUGCGCCGGGCGGCGGAGCGCGGUGAGGACGCCUGGCGAUCAGAACGUGCCCGUGAUGCCAGAGACUGAGUUCUCUUCGCAAACGCCACUUCACCGCGGCCUGCUCUCACCUGCUGUGAAACCAGCAAACUCGACUUGAAAAGAAACGCAGUGUACGAUGUCCGCCGGGUCCCGGGGCCCCCCAGGCAAUCGGGGACACGGGGCUUAGUUCCAGCCAGGUGCCCCGGGUCCUCGGCCCCGCUUCGGGGGCGAUCCGAGAGCCGCCGCCUUUUCAUGCAAAGAGACGCUGUCGCAUGGCAACCCCCGGGAACCUUGGGAGGGAGAAGUUGCUGCUCUUCCCUCAGCGCUCAAGUCAAAAAAAAAAAAAAAGUUCUUUGGGCUUGAGCCUGGGAGUCUAGGAGCUCUCAACCGGAAGUUCCGCCUUCCGGCCGGAGCGCUUCCUGUUUGGUAACGAAGGACGCGGGACGGUUGCUAGGGCUCCCGUGGCAAUUACCGCCGCGCUGUGCAGGUGCCUGAGCUCGACGCGGGUGCUGCUCACCCGCUGUCCAGGAAGGCGGAUCUUUGCUCUGUACCUUUUCUAUACGUUCGCAGUCAUGAGUAGCGAAUUCCUGGCUGAGCUGCAUUGGGAGGAUGGGUUCGCCAUCCCGGUGGCGAACGAGGAGAACAAGAUGCUGGAAGAUCAGUUGUCAAAGCUGAAGAAUGAAAGAGCAAGCUUGCAAGAUCAGUUAUGUGAGUAUGAAGAGCGAAUUAAUUCUAUGACUUCUCACUUCAAAAAUGUUAAACAAGAGCUCUCCAUUACACAGUCUUUCUGCAAAGCAAGGGAGCGUGAGACUGAAAGUGAAGAACAUUUUAAGGCCAUUGCGCAAAGAGAACUAGGACGAGUGAAAGAAGAAAUUCGGUGUCUGGAAAAUGAGAUGGCUUCAAUACUGGAAAAGAAAGCUGACAAAGAAAAUGGCAUAUUUAAAGCCACUCAAAAACUGGAUGCUUUGAAAUGCCAGAUGAACUGGGACCAGCAAGCACUGGAGGCCUGGUUGGAAGAAUCAGCUCAUAGAGAUAGUGACGCGCUCAUGCUUCAGAAGUAUGCACAACAAGAUGAUGAUAAAAUCAGGGCACUGACUCUGCAAUUAGAGAGACUAACUUUGGAACGUAAUCGGAAAAGAAAGAUGCUUGACAAUGAGCUUACAGAGACUGUAAGUGCACAGUUAGAAUUGGAUAAAGCAGCGCAGGAUUUUCGUAAGAUUCAUGAUGAAAGAAAAGAACUCAUUAAACAGUGGGAGAACACAAUAGAACAGAUGCAGAAGAGGGAUCAAGACAUAGAGGACUGUGCUUUGGUAAAGUCGUUUGGUCCUUGUAAUUUCAGCCGCAUUUGUCUCUUUUGUAUUUAACUCAUUAUUCCAAAUGUAAAUUACAUUGUUAU
RNAcentral lists this long non-coding RNA (1656 nucleotides) under Aotus nancymaae (Ma's night monkey). RNAcentral describes it as "lncRNA (ENSANAG00000039168.1)". The record is from RNAcentral. Lineage: Eukaryota; Metazoa; Chordata; Mammalia; Primates; Aotidae.